Molecule: non-coding RNA, 70 nt
Organism: Rhododendron simsii
Lineage: Eukaryota; Viridiplantae; Streptophyta; Magnoliopsida; Ericales; Ericaceae
Source: the annotation of a GenBank genome assembly
CCCAUAAUAGAUCAGUGAGAGUGAUCAGCUGUCAAAUGAUUCAUUGUUGGUUCAAAUCCUACUUGGGGAG